UCCCUCGUAGCUCAACUGAGCAGAGCACGCCGCUGGGCGGAGGUGCCGGUUCGAAUCCGGCCGAGGGGA
RNAcentral lists this transfer RNA (69 nucleotides) under Streptomyces johnsoniae. RNAcentral's name for it is "Streptomyces sp. DSM 41886 tRNA-OTHER". It matches the Rfam family "tRNA". Rfam says of the family: Transfer RNA (tRNA) molecules are approximately 80 nucleotides in length. Their secondary structure includes four short double-helical elements and three loops (D, anti-codon, and T loops). Further hydrogen bonds mediate the characteristic L-shaped molecular structure. tRNAs have two regions of fundamental functional importance: the anti-codon, which is responsible for specific mRNA codon recognition, and the 3' end, to which the tRNAs corresponding amino acid is attached (by aminoacyl-tRNA synthetases). tRNAs cope with the degeneracy of the genetic code in two manners: having more than one tRNA (with a specific anti-codon) for a particular amino acid; and 'wobble' base-pairing, i.e. permitting non-standard base-pairing at the 3rd anti-codon position. Lineage: Bacteria; Bacillati; Actinomycetota; Actinomycetes; Kitasatosporales; Streptomycetaceae. The record is from RNAcentral. RNAcentral also lists the same sequence under 1 other name.